Molecule: small RNA, 894 nt
Filed under: Pan troglodytes (chimpanzee)
Lineage: Eukaryota; Metazoa; Chordata; Mammalia; Primates; Hominidae
Description: retained intron
Source: RNAcentral
GACCAGUGAGUCCCAUGGCCUCCACUCACCGUUUCCGAGGCAGGCUGUGGUCAUUAUUAUGUGGAUUUAUCUUGUCCUUUCCCUCAUCCUAUUUCUGCCCUGUUCUUCCCCUGACAUCACUGAAUAUCCUUGUCUGUGUCUGCCCCUUCCAGACGAGCAUGGUAUCUGUGGAGGGCCUCACAAAGCUGGUGGACCCCUCCCAGCUGACGGAGGAGUUUGAUGGCUCCCUGGACUACAACCAUGAGGAGUGGAUCGAACUGCGGCUCUCCCUGGAGGAGUUCUUCAACAGUGCUGUGCACCUGCUCUCGCGCCUCGAGGACCUCCAGGAGAUGCUAGCCCGGAAGGAGUUUCCUGUGGAUGUGGAGGGCUCUCGGCGGCUCAUUGACGAACACACACAGCUCAAGAAAAAGGUGCUGAAGGCCCCUGUGGAGGAGCUGGACCGGGAGGGGCAGCGGCUGCUGCAGUGCAUCCGCUGCAGCGACGGCUUCUCAGGACGCAACUGCAUCCCGGGCAGUGCUGACUUCCAGAGCCUGGUGCCCAAGAUCACCAGUCUCCUGGACAAGCUGCACUCCACCCGGCAGCACCUGCACCAGAUGUGGCACGUGCGCAAGCUCAAGCUGGACCAGUGUUUUCAGCUGCGGCUCUUCGAGCAGGAUGCUGAGAAGAUGUUUGACUGGAUAAGCCACAACAAGGAGUUAUUCCUCCAGAGCCACACGGAGAUCGGAGUCAGCUACCAGUACGCCCUUGACCUCCAGACGCAGCACAAUCACUUUGCCAUGAACUCCAUGAAUGCCUAUGUCAACAUCAACCGCAUCAUGUCCGUGGCUUCCCGCCUCUCUGAGGCCGGUCAUUAUGCCUCACAACAAAUCAAGCAGAUCUCCACCCAGCUGGACC